CUUGUUUUAUGCUUUGAGGUUAGGGAGUUAGGCGGCUAAUAUGUUUUUGUUAGUUUGGUAUGUUUUAUUCUUAGAGAGCAAUUAAAUUAAUAAUCCAUUUGGCUAUGUGUUCUAAUCAAAAGUUAUCUUUUUUGAAAAAAAAUAAAAAAAAAUUAGGCACUUGAUUAAAAAUUUACAAAAGAACAUAUAAGAUAUUAAAAGUUAGUAAGAAUUGAACGAGUUGAAUAUUAUCCGUUUUAAACCAAUUUCAAUAUAAGUAAUAACUUUUGGUGCCACUAUUUUCUAGCGAAAAUUUUAAUUAGUUAGAUUGGGAGAUUUGGAAUAUGGAAUGCUUAAGAAGGCAAUAUAUAGUGCAAUAGCCGG
Molecule: long non-coding RNA, 363 nt
Filed under: Capsicum annuum
Lineage: Eukaryota; Viridiplantae; Streptophyta; Magnoliopsida; Solanales; Solanaceae
Description: long non-coding RNA (CANN_LNC018577)
Source: RNAcentral